AUGCAUAAUUGGUUUUUGCCGUUCUAUAGAGAUGUUGAGCGACGUUGUAGAAGACACUGUUCUUGAGCAUGGUGGAGAGAUUGUUUCUGCGGAGAAAGCCAGCAAAGGCGAUAUGCAGGAAAAGCUAACUAUGACAGUUGCAGUACCACUACUAUGGGGGGUUCCUCCUGCAUCCGAAAGGAUCCACCUUGCAGUUCGAAAUGGUGGAGGCAUUGUAGAUAAAGU
This 225-nucleotide unclassified non-coding RNA is filed under the name Hevea brasiliensis (rubber tree). Lineage: Eukaryota; Viridiplantae; Streptophyta; Magnoliopsida; Malpighiales; Euphorbiaceae. The record is from RNAcentral.